UACAGAGGGUGCGAGCGUGUUCGGAAUUAUUGGGCGUAAAGGGCGCGUAGGCGGUGCGGUAAGUCACCUGUGAAAUCUCCUGGCUCAACUGGGAGCUUGCAGGCGAAACUGCCGUGCUGGAGUGUGGGAGAGGUGCGUGGAAUUCCUGGUGUAGCGGUGAAAUGCGUAGAUAUCAGGAGGAACACCUGUGGCGAAAGCGGGCGCACUGGACCACAACUGACGCUGAGGCGCGAAAGCUAGGGG
Molecule: ribosomal RNA, 243 nt
Filed under: uncultured bacterium
Lineage: Bacteria
Description: partial 16S ribosomal RNA
Rfam family: Bacterial small subunit ribosomal RNA
Source: RNAcentral